AAGUGGAUGCCACAUUAUUUUUGCCCUUCUUCGGGUUGUCUAGACCCAGCUGACUAUACCAUUGAGUACGGGGCAGCAGAGGUACCUUGACAUCAUAUUUCUUUUUCUUCACUUUCAAUUCUCUGAAGAACAAAGAUAGUGUGUUUGGGAAGGGGUAGUUUGUUAUAGUCUCCUGACCAGCUGUAGAAAUAGCCCUCGACAUAAUACUACCC
RNAcentral lists this long non-coding RNA (212 nucleotides) under Nicotiana benthamiana. RNAcentral's name for it is "long non-coding RNA (NBEN_LNC009900)". The record is from RNAcentral. Lineage: Eukaryota; Viridiplantae; Streptophyta; Magnoliopsida; Solanales; Solanaceae.